ACAGCAAGGCGGUUAACCGUUGUCAAUGUAUAUAAAUAGUCGCGUCAUGCCGUGUUGUCACAGGUAGCCAUAUUUCUCUACUGAAGAACUCUUACAAGACACAAGAUAACAGGAGUAUCAUGGGAAAGUGGAACCACAGCAGAAACCCCUGGAACUCCCCAGCAAAGAGAAGCGUCUCUCAGCUCCUCCGACAAGAGAAGUUAAUCCGGUGCAGCAACACAACGCACUUAUCAAAGACAGAAAACAAUAUUUUGGAAACGCGCGCAAGGUUGGACAAACUGAAAUCUUCCACUCCGCCAAUCAACGAAGAUCUCAUGAAACUUCAACUACUGUGCCACUCCGUCACCUUUGUGACGUCAUAACUCUCUUCAAAUGACCGUCCAACCAUCAUCAUCUACUGCUUCACUGACAAUGAGUCAUAUUUAUAGAUAUGUACUCGACAGUUAAAAGCAUGUAUGACAUGUAUCUCUGUACAUGGAACCCUGUACUUUUAGCAUGUGUUAUCAUAUGCCUGUGAUGUGUAUCAUUUCACGGUCUUUUUUUCAUAUAUUGAAAUAAUACAUUAUUAUAUACUAUAUAUGUAAAGUGUAUCUUCUGUGCUUGGGAUGUUUUGCACCGGGACGUCGACAAAUGUUAACGAUGCAUGAUCCAGGACGUCGACACAAUCAUAUUAGCAAGGCAUGAUCCAAGUACUUGAAUGUCGUAAACUAUGCAUAUCCAUGUACGUCAGUAUAUAAUUAUAUAUAAAUGAUGGAUAUUCAAGUUCCGUGACCUCCAUGCGUGUUCCUUAAGAGAACGGUGUUAGACGUCAUGAUCCAGCACAUGAUUGUUACUGUCUAUCGAACAAAUAUUCGUUUUUCUUUUCAAGUUGUGCAUUUAUUAUGUGUAUAUCACACGAGGUGAAUAAAUAGUCACAAAUGA
Haliotis rubra (blacklip abalone) is the source of this 921-nucleotide long non-coding RNA. RefSeq lists it as uncharacterized. The transcript has 3 exons. The record is from RefSeq and is a predicted model, not a curated record. Lineage: Eukaryota; Metazoa; Mollusca; Gastropoda; Lepetellida; Haliotidae.